CGUUGGUGGAGUGAUUUGUUUGGUUGAUUCCGUGAACGAACGAGAUCUCAGCCUCUAAAUAGGGGCGGGCAUCGCUACCGGAGAUACACGACUUGGUUGCAGUCAUGCUUCAACGUCGCUCCGGGAUGGCCCGCCGCCUUCUUAGGGGAACAUCGUGCUUAUUGCGCUCGCUGAAGGGAGCCAAUAGCAGGU
RNAcentral lists this ribosomal RNA (192 nucleotides) under uncultured eukaryote. RNAcentral describes it as "partial small subunit ribosomal RNA". It matches the Rfam family "Eukaryotic small subunit ribosomal RNA", at positions 1296 to 1461 of the family's 1831-position model. The record is from RNAcentral.